UCUGUAGCUCAGCAGGUAGAGCAACGGACUGAAAAUCCGUGUGUCGUUGGUUCGACUCCGACCGGA
RNAcentral lists this transfer RNA (66 nucleotides) under human gut metagenome. It matches the Rfam family "tRNA". Rfam says of the family: Transfer RNA (tRNA) molecules are approximately 80 nucleotides in length. Their secondary structure includes four short double-helical elements and three loops (D, anti-codon, and T loops). The record is from RNAcentral.